GACCGAGAGCAUGAAAAAGUUGAAUUUAUCAUUCCACGAAGUUCAUUUUGCUUAAUCCCAGUCAAUCGGUGAUCGAUUCUUAUCAGUUUAAUCACACGUGUUAAUUGUAAUGUAGUAUCGUGGAUACAUCGGGUGAACCAUAAACAAUAUUGCGAGAAGGCCUAAGUGCCGUUAGGCCAAAAGGGCCUAGUAGUUUUACCGUGUGGUCGUAACCUGGACAGUCGAGUGGAGUAGUCGUGAGUUGAGAGUCGAGUGGAGUAGUCGUGAGUUAAGAGAGUCGAGUUGUUAGGAGUCGAGAGUUGACUUGCCGAGUUGUUAUGAGUUGUAAACUAUUAAUUGCGAAUUGUGAAUUAAUUAUUUAGUUGCCUCAGUUAUAGCACAUUACUAUUUUAGUUCACGUUAAACCAACCUUUUCUUAUUUAGUCCAUUGUAAAUAGAUCUAUCGAUCAAUAAACUUAUUAUAUAGAAUA
This is a long non-coding RNA of Bombus impatiens (common eastern bumble bee), 470 nucleotides long. RefSeq lists it as uncharacterized. NCBI's taxonomy places the organism in Eukaryota, Metazoa, Arthropoda, Insecta, Hymenoptera, Apidae. The transcript is spliced from 2 exons. The record is from RefSeq and is a predicted model, not a curated record.